UGGGGGAUAUUGCACAAUGGGCGAAAGCCUGAUGCAGCGACGCCGCGUGGGGGAUGAAGGCCUUCGGGUUGUAAACUUCUUUUGCUCUGAACAAGGCAUGCUAAUGGGUGUGUUGAGUGUAGGGGUUGAUUAGCGCCGGCUAACUACGUGCCAGCAGCCGCGGUAAUACGUAGGGCGCGAGCGUUGUCCGGAAUUAUUGGGCGUAAAGGGCUUGUAGGUGGCUGGUUGCGUCUGUCGUGAAAGCUCAUGGCUUAACUGUGGGUUUGCGGUGGGUACGGGCUGGCUUGAGUGCAGGAGGGGAGGGUGGAAUUCCUGGUGUAGCGGUGGAAUGCGCAGAUAUCAGGAGGAAUACCGGUGGCGAAGGCGGGUCUCUGGGCUGUUACUGACACUGAGGAGCGAAAGCAUGGGGAGCGAACAGG
RNAcentral lists this ribosomal RNA (419 nucleotides) under bacterium. RNAcentral describes it as "partial 16S ribosomal RNA". It matches the Rfam family "Bacterial small subunit ribosomal RNA", at positions 355 to 776 of the family's 1533-position model. The record is from RNAcentral.